RNAcentral lists this ribosomal RNA (253 nucleotides) under uncultured bacterium. RNAcentral's name for it is "partial 16S ribosomal RNA". It matches the Rfam family "Bacterial small subunit ribosomal RNA", at positions 524 to 776 of the family's 1533-position model. The record is from RNAcentral.
UACGAAGGGGGCUAGCGUUGUUCGGAAUUACUGGGCGUAAAGCGUGCGCAGGCGGCUUCUCAAGUCAGGGGUGAAAGCCCAGAGCUCAACUCUGGAAUUGCCUUUGAGACUGAGUGGCUUGAGUACGAGAGAGGUGAGUGGAAUUCCCAGUGUAGAGGUGAAAUUCGUAGAUAUCGGGAAGAACAUCGGUGGCGAAGGCGGCUCUCUGGGACGGUACUGACGCUGAGACGCGAAAGCGUGGGGAGCGAACAGG